Solanum pennellii is the source of this 3959-nucleotide long non-coding RNA. RefSeq lists it as uncharacterized. The transcript is spliced from 4 exons. NCBI's taxonomy places the organism in Eukaryota, Viridiplantae, Streptophyta, Magnoliopsida, Solanales, Solanaceae. The record is from RefSeq and is a predicted model, not a curated record.
UUCUUUCGUAGAUGAAAAUUAGCACAUAUGCUACACAUUAGAAAACACGCCUCUUUACUCUUCUUUCCUAUAUGAAAAAUAUACUGAAGAUCGAAGAGGGAAAGCUGAAGAACAAAAGAGAUGAGCUGAAAAAUGGAAGAGCUGAGCUGAUUUUCUUCUCUAAAACCCAAUUUUCUCGAAUAUAUGAAGAGCUAAUGCCGAAGAAGUAGGGAUCGAUCGAUGAACUGAAGAUUGAAGAACCGAAGAUUGGAAGCUGAAGAACCGAUUUCGUCAAGCCUGGCAGUUUGAAAUUUUGUAGGUGAUGCCCCUUGCGUUGAUGGACAGCUUGCCGUUGCUAGGGCAUUUGGAGACAAGAGAUUGAAGAGACAUCUUAGUUCAUACCCAUAUGUGGCAAUUGAGCUGAUAGAUAACGACUUAGAUCUCAUUAUUCUCGCAAGCGAUGGUCAGUGGAAGGUAAGAUGUAUUCAUUUUAAUUAGAGCUAGAAUAUCUUGAGGAGGAUGUUGUAUUUGCUCAUAUCGAACAUUUGAUUCGCGUAUUUAUAGGUAAUGUCCAUCCAAGAGGUAGUGGACUGCAUUAAGAACGUGUAUUCGCUCUAUCACAUUCUGUUAGAUGAUUUUUGUAUAAGUGUUAACCGGAUACUAAGUAAAAGGGAAAAAGGUCAGUUUUGUGGACCAAACAGAAAUAAAAUCAGAUAGAAGCUUCAGCUAAGGAAAAAAGAACUAUAGGCAUAUUCCAUACUGUAUUUGAAUAUUUUCUAUGACUAGUUUUGUUUGCAAAAGAUAAUGAUUGAGAAAUAUAGCAAAUUUCUUAUGUAAUGUUUCAAUGUGAUUUACAUCAUUGUUUAUCUAUAAUCAUACUUGAACAUACAAACAAAUGUGGCAGAAACCUGGUCAAGACACAAUAAGCAACUUCCAGAUCUAAUCAACAUAAUGAAGUGUUCCAUUGCUAAUUGUGUUUAGUAAUGUCUGCACAUGUAGUAAAUUCUGUUCAUAAACUGCAAUCUCGUGCUUGUUUCAUUGUUCGUUUUGGAACAUAUUCCUAUUUCAUGGGAAAUUUUACGGCACAAGUUCAGUAAUUUCUAUCCAUAUGCCAAGUUAAAAGAACUAGUCUUUCCAUUAUAUUCACCGACAGUGUAGUGUAAAUAAAGAAGCUUUAACAAGUAGUACAAAACCAAUAUAUAAAUGUGAAGCUCUCUCCAAAACCAAUCACGCAUCAACAUCUGCAAUAAUUUGAAGAAGUCUUAUGAACUAGAUUGAUUUCCAACUUGAUGUUUUAGUUGUUUCUACCUAUCCCCAACGUUUGAUCGAUAGGCUCCUUGAAUCAAUGUAAGUGUCUUCUUCUUUUCUUGUAAUUAUCCUUCCCUUUGUGAUCUUGUUUUUUCUUGCAUAGGCAUUGGGAAAGGCCUAGAUUCAGCUCCAAUCUUUUAGGAAUCAUUCUGAGUUUUUCCUCUUUUUACAUAUCAAGGUUUUAUCUUGUUGCGACUGAGUCUCUACGUGAAACUACAGGUUAAUUGUUGCUUAUUGUGUUCCAAUUUUACCUUCUAGGCUCUCUUUUUUGUUUACUCUUUCAUUUUUAACAGUAAAUUACCUUUAAUUAAAAACAUAUAUUUGGUACCUAAGCUUCUUGGACAAACUGAUUAUUCAAUAAUAAAUUAUCAUUCCUUUAUAUAAUGUUACUUCUACUUUUUCGUGCCACUGUAUUUGAAUCUUGCAGUAAGAAUUUACGGAAUACGCUUUUAUUGGUCAAAGUGUACCUUAUUCUUGUUAUUUCAGCCGGGGCAUGAGUCCAGUAUUUAGUUUAACUUAGAAAACUUCUUCAUUGCUACCAUAUUGUCUUUCAAAAUAUCAUUUUGUAAGUUUAUCUUAUGUUGCUUAAUAUUGUCUUGUUAUUGUUUUUAAGUUUUUAUCUUUCUCAUGAAUGAAAACAAUUGUCCUUGAAUUUUUAAAAGUUUACACGAGAAUUGAAUGGUCCAUGACUAGUUAUCUCAUUGUUUCAUCUAUAACCCUGCAGAUUCCUAGGAUUGUUUGCUCUUAGUUUGUAUUAUAUUGUUUUCUCAGCUUGCAAGAUUAGUGCGGUGGUUCUUAUUUAGCUAUUCUGGGUAUAAGCUACUAACUAGUUAUGUUGAAAUGAUUUUUUAAAACAUGGAAUUUUUUAACGGGAAAUAUAUCAUGAAGAUGGACAACAAACAUUCUGGUUGAAACUCUUAUAUGUGUUGCAUCUGAUGGUCAAAUUAUGUAAGGUGUUGCCUUCUAGUGUUACAAAAUCUUUUUUCUACCUCUUUACACCAUUUACUCUCUCUUUCUAAGCAUGCAGCUUUCCAUCAGGCAUCGUACACUAUAUGCAGGCAGGCUAAUGCUUUUUCAUUACAAGAUUCAACAUGUUUUCUGAAAGUUGCAAAUAAAGUGUCUAUACAAGGCACUAAUGCAGAUUCCACCAAAAACGACCACAAGGAAAAAACAUCAUUAAGAUAAAGAUAUCUUUCUGGCUGAAAGACCAGGUAAGUCACUAUUUUGGAGGGCUUACAAUGUUCCAAACUUCAUUAGAAUCGGGAAAGUUCAGCUAUGUCGCUGGAGGGUGUGUUCCCUAUCAGAGGAGCUUAGAAACGUAAAUGUAAAUGAACUGUCUUUGUUUUGUUUUGUUUUGAAAAUGAAGUACCUAUGUAAGGAACAAAUGGAGAUUCUACUGAAAAGGACAAGGAAAAAAACAUUUUUGAAAAAUCUCAGUAACGAAAAAGCUUCUUUGAAAAUGGCCAGUAACGAAAAGCAAGUAGGUAUCUGCAAUAAAAAUAUGCUACUGGGAAAAGGAAGAGCAAAGAACAGGUAUAUUUUAUCAUUUACUUAACUAAAGGAGUAAAAUUCUUAACUUUCUCAUACACCUUCCACUAUACUUGGUUCCUGUACAAUUGUUUUCAGCAGACUAGAAAUCGAGUGCAGAUGACUGAGGAUGACUUGAUUAUGCAUUUCUUUCAUUUCUUCCGGUUGUGGUCUGGUUCUGUUUCACACUACUGUUGGUGCUAUGCCUGUUUAAGGUAUGAGAAAAUCAUUAAGUAAUAUGUUCUUUUAUUAGCAAAUCAGCUGGUGGAAUUGGCAUCUGUGUGCUCAACAAACGUGUCACUCGGAACGAAAUAUCAAAUGAGAUUGUUUCUUUAUAUCCUGCGUCUGUCUAAUUGUACUUCUAGAUAUUAUCUUGAUCAAGCGGGUGGCAAAAGAAAGGGUGUGGCCUCAAUUCUGUGCUUGUUUAGAUAAUUCUCAAACUUUAGCUGUAGGGACAAGUCUACCUUCACUUUUCUCACUCUGUAAUGUUAUGUUUAGGUGCCUUUGUUGUCUACCUCGAGUCUUGGCAUGCUGAUAUUAUUGAAUUUCUUGAUUUAAGAAUGAACCAUGGGAAGGUAUAGUAUUGUUUUAUUAUCAGUUGUUUAACAUAUUGUCCAUUCGGCAUGCACUUGCAAUCUGCCUUUUCACUAGAUUGUUGUAUGACAAUACAUGGAUGAUGUUUCCAGUUCUUCUGGAAGAGAUCGAAUCGGCCACGAUAUCUUUUAUUUGCUCUUUGGUUCCAGAUCUUCUCAUGCCAAAAGUCCAAAGCAAUGGGGUAUGACCUUUGUUUUGUCAAAGUGAGGCUCCUGGAUUGGAAGAUUGUUGGGGUGAAGAUUUUGAGAAGUUGUACACUAAAUAUGAAAAAGAGGGAAAGGCAAAGAAGGUCGUUCAUGCAUAAAAUAUCUGGUUUGAGAUCUUUAUAGAAACUGGAACUCCUUACAUGUUGUACAAGGGAAAUGGUGGUGAUCAAAUUUGAAGGAUAUCCACAAGUCAAUUUGAUCUUAUUGAAGUUUUAGAACUAUUGUAAAAGGAUAAAUACAUUAUAAAGUGUACACAUAUAAUUAGAAUAUUAUUUGAUACGUAUGUGUAUGUACACAAGACAUUCUAUCUUUUGAAGUUUAUUGCAAAUUUAUAUAUUUGAAUUA